Molecule: long non-coding RNA, 1646 nt
Organism: Strigops habroptila (Kakapo)
Lineage: Eukaryota; Metazoa; Chordata; Aves; Psittaciformes; Psittacidae
Source: Ensembl
UUCAUAAAAAAAAGUUCUGUUAAAAAGGUUUAUUCUGUUUUGAAAGAGUAGACCAAGUCACUGUUUAUAUAUUUACCAGUGGGUGGGUUGGCUUCAUAUUAUUGUGAAAAAUGAUAGCGCAUAAAUGGACUCUGUUCUUUUUCCAUGUUGUUCAGGUUACCAGCAUCUAGGGGUUCCUGGGUCUGGAGCAUAUGGAAUUUAAGUUUCCUUGUUAUGAGAAAAAAUAGGUUAGGAAUGUCUACAGAUCUUCUCCAUUUCACCUAACAGAAACUAGUCAAGUUGAUAAAUGUCUAGAUUAUAGCUUAGACACUGAAAAUUUGGUAAUGUUGCUUUGUGCUGUUAUUGUCAUUCACACUUUCAAUUUGAGAGAUACGUUUUCUCAUUUUCAUUCGUUCAGUGAAUACAUUUUUAUUACUGAAAAAACAGCUUUCAGUGAAGGAAACUGAAAUGAGAUAAGCUUUUGAUUUUGUUUUUUUUUUUACUGCAGCUGCUGAGUGUAGGACUAUAACAGUUCAGCAAAAAAUAGCAACUGCUAUUUACUUUAGACAAACCAUGAGGUUAACCUGUGGUUACUCUUGAUAAAAAACAAGCACACUUACACAUAUCUGUGCAUUUAUGUUUCUCCCAAUGGGCCAAUUAGCAUCUGCUUCUGUGAAGCACUGAUCGCUUGCUGCGAAAAGAGAAGGAUCCUCGCCUCUUUCUGACUCUAAUGGAAUGUGAGGGCACUAAAACCCACUAUCAGCAUCUGGCCCUUAGAGAUUAAUGGUACUGUGCAAAGAGUAUUACUAAACAAUAUGCAGCACAGAAGGCAUUUUUGGAACACUGCAAAAAAUAGAGUCUCAUUUUAAGACUCUCAUUACUGUCAUCUAAAACAGAUGGGAAAGAGAUGAAAGUUUAAGAUUAUAGUAAAAAAAUAUUCCUGUGCCAAAUGCAACUUCUGAGAAAAAGUUUGUAAUAGAUUGACAGGAACUAGAUUUAAAAAAAAAAAAAAAAAAGAAAAAAAAAGAAAAAAAAAGAAAAAAAGAAAGAAAUCUGGCAAGCAUUGCAAAAGAAAAAACUGCAUCGAAAGAGAUAGCCGGAAUAAUGAUCUAAGAAACAGCACACUCUGGAAAUGUCAGAGAAAUGGAAAAAUAUGUUUUACUGCUGCUUUCAUAGAAAAUGAAAGGGAAGGAUUGUAACUUAAAUGCAAAAUAAGGAUCAGAAACAGGAAAACAAAAAUUUGCUAUUUGUACUUUGUCCACUGUAAAAUCGGUGUCACUGAGGUCUUAUAUGAAAAAUGCUUGUCAUCAUGUAUAUUGACUUUUUUACAAUAUUGGGGUCCAGGAAGUGGAAGGAUAUAGAAAAAGUAGUCCUUACAUAAAUAGUGUCAUAUGGAAAUUUGGUUGUGUGAGGUUGUAUGAGGUUUCUGUCUCCAUUCAUUGUCUCUGUGAGUGCACAAGGAUAACUAUAAAAUAGGGGCUAAUUUUCAAAUGUCUGUGCAUAGGAUUAUGUGACUAAGUCUUUUAACAUGAACACAUUUAGUACACAUCUUUUGUCACUCACCCCAGCAGAUAAAUGAAUGCUAAUUACCUACAUUCAGAGAGCUAGGUUUAAAAUGUGAGCCUUUAUUUCUCAUUUUUAAGUAAUGGACUCUAGUUGUGAAUUUU